UACGUAGGGUGCGAGCGUUAAUCGGAAUUACUGGGCGUAAAGCGUGCGCAGGCGGCGCGUUAAGACAGGUGUGAAAGCCCCGAGCUUAACUUGGGAAUUGCGCUUGUGACUGGCGAGCUGGAGUGUGGCAGAGGGAGGUGGAAUUCCACGUGUAGCAGUGAAAUGCGUAGAGAUGCGGAGGAACACCGAUGGCGAAGGCAGCCCCCUGGGCUAGCACUGACGCUCAGGCACGAAAGCGUGGGGAGCAAACAGG
RNAcentral lists this ribosomal RNA (253 nucleotides) under uncultured bacterium. RNAcentral describes it as "partial 16S ribosomal RNA". It matches the Rfam family "Bacterial small subunit ribosomal RNA", at positions 524 to 776 of the family's 1533-position model. The record is from RNAcentral.